GAAUGAAUUUAAGAGUUGGUUGUUGCUGGCCUCCCUUCCCGAGGCAUGUGCACACCUUCUCUUUCAUCCACACACACACCUGUGCACUUGUGAGAUGUGGAGGGCUGGAAAUUUUUAUUCUCAACCCUUCCAUCUGCUAUUACACAAACUCAAUUUAAUUUAAACUGAAUGUAAUUGAUGUAACACAUCUAAUAUAUACUAAGUUUCAACAACGGAUCUCUUGGCUCUCGCAUCGAUGAAGAACGCAGCGAAAUGCGAUAAGUAAUGUGAAUUGCAGAAUUCAGUGAAUCAUCGAAUCUUUGAACGCAUCUUGCGCUCCUUGGUAUUCCUUGGAGCAUGCCUGUUUGAGUAUCAUGAAAUUCUCAAAGUAAAUUCUUUUGUUAAUUCAAUUUGGUUUACUUUGGAUUUGGAGGCUUUGCAGAUUUUUUACAAUCUCUGCUCCUCUUGAAUGUAUUAGCUGGAUCUCAGUAUAUACUUGGUUCCACUCAGUGUGAUAAGUAUCACUCGCUGAGCAAGGAAUACAGAUGAACCGCUCCUAAUAGUCUAUUAAAAGAUCUGAUCUCAAAUCAGGUAGGAUUACCCGCUGAACUUAAGCAUA
Molecule: ribosomal RNA, 598 nt
Filed under: uncultured fungus
Lineage: Eukaryota; Fungi
Description: eukaryotic LSU rRNA
Rfam family: 5.8S ribosomal RNA (bases 201-354)
Source: RNAcentral